CUUGACAAAUUAUAAGAGGUCCAGCCUGCCCAGUGACAUAGUUAAACGGCCGCGGUAUCCUGACCGUGCGAAGGUAGCAUAAUCACUUGUUCUUUAAAUAAGGACUAGUAUCAACGGCAUCACGAGGGUUAUACUGUCUCCUCUCUCCAAUCAGUGAAACUGAUCUCCCCGUGAAGAAGCGGGGAUAAACUUAUAAGACGAGAAGACCCCAUGGAGCUUUAAACUCAACAACAACCUCCACCACAAAACUCUACGUAACUACGGAGGUUCUGUUUGUUAGUUUUGGGUUGGGGUGACCGCGGAGAAAAACCAAACCUCCACGACGAACGGAACUAACUCCUAAUCUAAGAGCCACCGCUCUAAGAAUCAAUAUAUUGACAUAAAAUGAUCCGAUAAUCGAUCAACGAACCA
Molecule: ribosomal RNA, 411 nt
Filed under: Nanorana polunini
Lineage: Eukaryota; Metazoa; Chordata; Amphibia; Anura; Dicroglossidae
Description: partial 16S ribosomal RNA
Rfam family: Bacterial large subunit ribosomal RNA
Source: RNAcentral